This 26-nucleotide ribosomal RNA is filed under the name Caryospora bigenetica. RNAcentral describes it as "large subunit ribosomal RNA". Lineage: Eukaryota; Apicomplexa; Conoidasida; Eucoccidiorida; Eimeriidae. The record is from RNAcentral.
AUGUAUGCUUGAAAGCUGUUCUCAUC